UGGCGGACGGGUGAGUAACGCGUGAGCAACCUGCCCUUCGGAGGGGGAGUAGUGUCUGGAAACGGACAGUAAUACCGCAUAACGUAUUGAUACCGCAUGAUAUUGAUACCGAAACUGAGGUGCCGAAGGAUGGGCUCGCGUUGGAUUAGAUAGUUGGUGGGGUAACGGCCUACCAAGUCGACGAUCCAUAGCCGGACUGAGAGGUUGAACGGCCACAUUGGGACUGUGACACGGCCCAGACUCCUACGGGAGGCAGCAG
This 259-nucleotide ribosomal RNA is filed under the name uncultured bacterium. Its description in RNAcentral is "partial 16S ribosomal RNA". It matches the Rfam family "Bacterial small subunit ribosomal RNA", at positions 96 to 354 of the family's 1533-position model. The record is from RNAcentral.